This 771-nucleotide ribosomal RNA is filed under the name Triticum aestivum (bread wheat). RNAcentral's name for it is "partial small subunit ribosomal RNA". Lineage: Eukaryota; Viridiplantae; Streptophyta; Magnoliopsida; Poales; Poaceae. The record is from RNAcentral.
AUGCUUCAGGAUGCCGUGGGUACAAAAGCCGCUCCCACUCCGAUCCAUGACCUAGACGCCGCUCUAUCUCACUUCUGGGAGACUCCGAGAAACCCUAGAUCGAGAUUCCCCUCCUCCUUCCUCUGGUGGGAGGGGAAGAUUGGAGGCGACCACAAAUCCUACGCAGUGGUGGUUUCUUCCAAGCCAAGCGAGCCGAGCGAGAUGGAGAACCGCGGUGACCAUGCCUUCCGCGGAAAUCGUCGGGAGGGCUUUGGAUCUGGGCAGAUGGGGCGCGGAGCUGGUCGAUUUGACCGAGGGCACGGUCGGGGCCGCUUCUCGUGGUCCAGGGAGGUCGACGGCGACAACUUCUCCACCAACAAGAAGACGGCGUCGGCAUCGGACGACACCGAGUGGUGGGAUGAGGCUGCGGAGAGAGCCAAGAGGGCCAGAUCUGAGGGGGUUUGGGUGGAGAAGAACCCUAACCCUCCUGGUCUCAACGCUGCAGAAAUCCACAAGAAGAAGCGGAUCUACGACUCCGUCGCCCGAGUUGAGCCUUCUUCUCAGGUGCCCCCACCCAAAGCUUAUGAUCCCUGUUUAAUCUGCAAAUCUACUAGCCAUACUCCUGCUAGUUGUCCGCAAGCCUUUUGUGAGAGAUGCAGUAAGAUGGGACAUCUAGCAUUGGUUUGCGUUGCUUUCCUGCCAUGGGAGUGUGUGUGGCACCGAUGUGUGCUUUUCAGGCCAACGGCCAGGGGUUUUUCUAUAUUCCAGACUGAUGUACUGCUAAGCAACUAA